Molecule: transfer-messenger RNA, 380 nt
Filed under: Candidatus Parabeggiatoa sp. HSG14
Lineage: Bacteria; Pseudomonadati; Pseudomonadota; Gammaproteobacteria; Thiotrichales; Thiotrichaceae
Also listed under: 1 other name
Rfam family: transfer-messenger RNA
About the family: Bacterial tmRNA, also known as 10Sa RNA or SsrA, is named for its dual tRNA and mRNA-like properties. Its role is to liberate the mRNA from a stalled ribosome. To accomplish this part of the tmRNA is used as a reading frame that ends in a translation stop signal.
Source: RNAcentral
GGGGGUGACAAGGUUUCGACGUGGGUUACAAAACCUAAGGGGCAUGCCGAGGCGCAGAUUACCUCGUAAAUCCUGCUGCAAAAUCAGAUAGUCGCCAACGACGACGUCUACGCCCUAGCUGCUUAAAGCUAGCCUCUGACUGUGUUCGUGCUUGUGCGCUCAGUGUUUGUUGUAAAAGGCAAACUUUAUCAGAGGUCAUCCCUCACGAGAUCGUAGAGACAGUAUGUCUGGGAUUGCUUCUACUAAACUUUAACCAGAAUCGUUGUGUUGCUGUCCUGCCUAUCGGAUGACAGACAACUAAACUUAAAGAUAGGACUAAGCAUGUAGAACCAAGGGCGGAGGACUUGCGGACGCGGGUUCGAUUCCCGCCGCCUCCACCA